RNAcentral lists this ribosomal RNA (478 nucleotides) under uncultured bacterium. RNAcentral's name for it is "partial 16S ribosomal RNA". It matches the Rfam family "Bacterial small subunit ribosomal RNA", at positions 28 to 523 of the family's 1533-position model. The record is from RNAcentral.
GACGAACGCUGGCGGCGUGCUUAACACAUGCAAGUCGAACGGUAAGGCCCUUCGGGGUACACGAGUGGCGAACGGGUGAGUAAUACGUGGGUGAUCUGCCCUGCACUUCGGGAUAAGCCUGGGAAACUGGGUCUAAUACCGGAUGGGACCACUUCCUGCAUGGGGGGUGGUGGAAAGCUUUUGCGGUGUGGGAUGGGCCCGCGGCCUAUCAGCUUGUUGGUGGGGUGAUGGCCUACCAAGGCGACGACGGGUAGCCGGCCUGAGAGGGUGACCGGCCAAACUGGGACUGAGAUACGGCCCAGACUCCUACGGGAGGCAGCAGUGGGGAAUAUUGCACAAUGGGCGCAAGCCUGAUGCAGCGACGCCGCGUGAGGGAUGACGGCCUUCGGGUUGUAAACCUCUUUCAGCACCGACGAAGCGCAAGUGACGGUAGGUGCAGAAGAAGGACCGGCCAACUACGUGCCAGCAGCCGCGGUAA